UUUCAAGAUAAGAGACUCGCAGACAAGAGGCGUUUAUUUCCCAAAUCGUUUGUUUAAAUAACUCAACACACAUUUCCAUUACACACAUCAU
This is a long non-coding RNA of Etheostoma spectabile (orangethroat darter), 91 nucleotides long. RefSeq lists it as uncharacterized. Lineage: Eukaryota; Metazoa; Chordata; Actinopteri; Perciformes; Percidae. The record is from RefSeq and is a predicted model, not a curated record. The transcript is spliced from 3 exons.